RNAcentral lists this unclassified non-coding RNA (385 nucleotides) under Hevea brasiliensis (rubber tree). The record is from RNAcentral. Lineage: Eukaryota; Viridiplantae; Streptophyta; Magnoliopsida; Malpighiales; Euphorbiaceae.
UAAGCUAGUUGUUGAGGCUUUAGAACUCUUCUCUCAAAUGAGUAAUAAAGGCAUUUCACUGCGUAAUUCAUGGUCUUUGCAAUAUAGGCCAAUGAAAUCAAGCUUUGGCCUUGUUUAAUGAAAUGGUGGGGCAGAACAUAUCACCAAAUGUUGUUAGCUUCAAUGUAUUGAUUGGUAGUCUUUGUAAGAAAGGAAUGAUUACAGAUGCUCAAUGUAUAAUCAAAAUAAUGAUUCCAAGAGGUGUGGAGCUUGAUGUGGUCACUUAUAACUCCUUAAUUAAUUGUCUUUGCAAUUUAGGCAAAUGGAGUCAAGCUUUGACUUUAUUGAAUGAAAUAGUGGGACAGAACAUAUCACCAAAUGUUAUUACCUUCAAUAUAUUGAUUGG